UCGGGAAUAUUGCGCAAUGGAGGAAACUCUGACGCAGUGACGCCGCGUGCAGGAAGAAGGUUUUCGGAUUGUAAACUGCUUUAGACAGGGAAGAUACAAGACAGUACCUGUAGAAUAAGCUCCGGCUAACUACGUGCCAGCAGCCGCGGUAAUACGUAGGGAGCAAGCGUUAUCCGGAUUUAUUGGGUGUAAAGGGUGCGUAGACGGGAAAACAAGUUAGUUGUGAAAUCCCUCGGCUUAACUGAGGAACUGCAACUAAAACUAUUUUUCUUGAGUGCUGGAGAGGAAAGUGGAAUUCCUAGUGUAGCGGUGAAAUGCGUAGAUAUUAGGAGGAACACCAGUGGCGAAGGCGACUUUCUGGACAGUAACUGACGUUGAGGCACGAAAGUGUGGGGAGCAAACAGG
Molecule: ribosomal RNA, 405 nt
Filed under: Acidobacteriota bacterium
Lineage: Bacteria; Pseudomonadati; Acidobacteriota
Description: Acidobacteria bacterium partial 16S ribosomal RNA
Rfam family: Bacterial small subunit ribosomal RNA
Source: RNAcentral